CCACAGUGAUCCAAACAGCUACCACAGUUACCCUAACAACAAACACAUCAACAACAUCAACGACCACAGCAACUCCAACAACUACCACAACUACAAAAGCUCCGUCUGCACCUGUCCAAGUUUUUCUGUUUCUACAGUUCCUUGAACCAUAUGUACCUGAUCUCACAGACCCCACCAGCAGUGUAUAUCAAAAUCGCAAAAGACGAGUUGAAGAUACGUGUAAUAGAAUCUACAAACCAAUAUUUCCUUUCUUCAUCCGUGCCAUUGUGAUUCGGUUCAGUCUUGUUAGAGUCCAAACACGAGAGGAUAGAACUGAGGCAGAGGUAGAGCUUGUGUUCAAUCAAACAGCGCCCAAUGCACAAGUCCCAAAUAAUACUACUAUUGUUCAAACUUU
Molecule: long non-coding RNA, 394 nt
Organism: Oreochromis niloticus (Nile tilapia)
Lineage: Eukaryota; Metazoa; Chordata; Actinopteri; Cichliformes; Cichlidae
Exons: 3
Source: RefSeq, a predicted model, not a curated record